AUCACUUCUUGGUCUUUGGCUAAGGUCAAGUAUAGUAUCUGCUAUUAUCUAAUAUGUCCUCUACCGAGGAUAAUAUAGUAAAUGGGUUUUUGGAACAGGGAGACAGAAUAGGAGCUUGUUCCAUCUGCUUCACUCCUUGAUUUGGUAUUGUAGUAUUUCCAGGAAUGAUGCACAGAGA
RNAcentral lists this small nuclear RNA (178 nucleotides) under Rhinolophus ferrumequinum (greater horseshoe bat). RNAcentral describes it as "U2 spliceosomal RNA (ENSRFEG00010014325.1)". It matches the Rfam family "U2 spliceosomal RNA". From Rfam's summary of the family: U2 is a small nuclear RNA (snRNA) component of the spliceosome (involved in pre-mRNA splicing). Complementary binding between U2 snRNA (in an area lying towards the 5' end but 3' to hairpin I) and the branchpoint sequence (BPS) of the intron results the bulging out of an unpaired adenosine, on the BPS, which initiates a nucleophilic attack at the intronic 5' splice site, thus starting the first of two transesterification reactions that mediate splicing. The record is from Rfam by way of RNAcentral. Lineage: Eukaryota; Metazoa; Chordata; Mammalia; Chiroptera; Rhinolophidae.